Molecule: unclassified non-coding RNA, 200 nt
Filed under: soil metagenome
Description: partial contains internal transcribed spacer 2 and large subunit ribosomal RNA
Source: RNAcentral
UGGCUUUGGACGUGGGGGCUUUUGCGGGCUUUCGUUGCAGAGUCUGCUCCCCUGAAAUGCAUCAGUGGUGUCUGGAGCGGAAACCGCUUGGUGUGAUAACAUUCAUCUACGCCUUUGGUAUGCCGCGCAUGUGCUGCUUCCAACGCACGAUUCUUGACAAACUUGACCUCAAAUCAGGUAGGACUACCCGCUGAACUUAA